AUGGGAGCUUGCUCCCUGAUGUUAGCGGCGGACGGGUGAGUAACACGUGGGUAACCUGCCUGUAAGACUGGGAUAACUCCGGGAAACCGGGGCUAAUACCGGAUGGUUGUCUGAACCGCAUGGUUCAGACAUAAAAGGUGGCUUCGGCUACCACUUACAGAUGGACCCGCGGCGCAUUAGCUAGUUGGUGAGGUAACGGCUCACCAAGGCGACGAUGCGUAGCCGACCUGAGAGGGUGAUCGGCCACACUGGGACUGAGACACGGCCCAGACUCCUACGGGAGGCAGCAGUAGGGAAUCUUCCGCAAUGGACGAAAGUCUGACGGAGCAACGCCGCGUGAGUGAUGAAGGUUUUCGGAUCGUAAAGCUCUGUUGUUAGGGAAGAACAAGUGCCGUUCAAAUAGGGCGGCACCUUGACGGUACCUAACCAGAAAGCCACGGCUAACUACGUGCCAGCAGCCGCGGUAAUACGUAGGUGGCAAGCGUUGUCCGGAAUUAUUGGGCGUAAAGGGCUCGCAGGCGGUUUCUUAAGUCUGAUGUGAAAGCCCCCGGCUCAACCGGGGAGGGUCAUUGGAAACUGGGGAACUUGAGUGCAGAAGAGGAGAGUGGAAUUCCACGUGUAGCGGUGAAAUGCGUAGAGAUGUGGAGGAACACCAGUGGCGAAGGCGACUCUCUGGUCUGUAACUGACGCUGAGGAGCGAAAGCGUGGGGAGCGAACAGGAUUAGAUACCCUGGUAGUCC
RNAcentral lists this ribosomal RNA (740 nucleotides) under Bacillus siamensis. RNAcentral describes it as "bacterial SSU rRNA". It matches the Rfam family "Bacterial small subunit ribosomal RNA", at positions 72 to 796 of the family's 1533-position model. Lineage: Bacteria; Bacillati; Bacillota; Bacilli; Caryophanales; Bacillaceae. The record is from RNAcentral.